CGCGCAGGCGCACGGCGCACUCCUUCGCGGUCCCCCCCUCUUCCCCCGGCCCCAGCGCAAUCGCACUGGACUCGGUUCUCCCGCCGCCGCCUUCGCGCAGGUGCGUCGCUCUCCCUCGCCACUUCCACUGCGCCGAAUCGCCGCAGCUGCGCAGGCGCCCCCGAGGCUCCCGGGGUUUACUGAGCUGGGGAAGCUCCUUUACGCAGAGCGCGCGUAGGCAGCGCUGACCUUCCCGCUUCCAGCUGCUUGGUCCCGGGCUCUCUGCAGCCGUAGUUGUGCUCCUCCCACCUCACUUUUCUUUUCUUGGUUUCAAUCCCUGGUUUUGCUAGCAAUUCCUCGUUUCUGUUAAGCGGGAAAGGUGGACUGCAUUACCCAUGUUUGAAACUGGGUUUGCGCGUUUGGGAAGCAACAAGGGGUUACUCUGCUGGAAAACUUGACAUUGCAAGUAAAGGGAUUUAUACCCUAAGGUUCCACAAGCUCUGGUGCGUGGAAGAGAGGGACAAAGAAACCCGGAGACUCAGGAAGGUUGGUGGCCCACCUCUUCUUUCCACUAUAUAAUUCUACUUCUAGAAAGGCAAGCGGAAGAGUAGCCAUGCAAAGGAUCUAGAUAUAUGCCCAGGAGUGGAAUUGCUAGAACAUAUGGAAACCUUCCCCAAGGAGCUCCUGUUCUUGAAAGCAGCUGGACACAUUGACCUACCACUGCCUGAGUCCUGCAUCACAUACUGUCACAGAGCAUCUUAGUUUUUGGAAAGAGUUUGUCUUCUCUGCCAGGCCAUGACAUACUCAGCCUUGAGACUGUGAGCUGCACGGGAAGCGGGGACAAUCUUUUCCCAGCACCUGAAGCAGUACCCGCUGCAUAGGGCACUCCAGAAAUGGAUGGAUCAACUGGAGUCACAGAGACCUGGAAGACGGGGCCUGGGACUGGCCAUGGGACAGGAGUUGUGUUUCCUAGAACCCGUCUUUCCUAAGGUGGACCCUGAGGACAUCAACCAUGUGGCAAAUGACUGCGACAAAGCAGGGGGCAAGGUGGGCCUCCAGUCUGCUCUGGGGACUCAGCUGGUACCUGAGAAGCCUCUCACCUGGGUAGAUGGGAAGAACUACUGAGCUGCUUUGGAAGAGAAGGCCAGAACCACAUUAAUUCGCUCAGAAUGAGACCAGUGGGCCCUGUCAUGUUCAAGUUAUCAACAUGGCCUUUAAGCCCCAGGAGGCCCAUGAACGGUCCUGGCAGUAAGAAGGCUCAGAAUGCCACCAGAGAGCGAUGGCCAUCUCUGCAUGCCCGCGUUCUGAGAAGUGGAAACAGUCCUCAGAGAAGAAGUACAUCUAAGCUCUAGUGAUGCCCCCCCCUAAAAGGUGGGGAGCAGGGAAAAGGAGGAAAAGCAGAAAAAGCAACUCCUUGGGAGCACUCUUGGAGAGAGAUGGCCCAGAAAGUCCCACAAAGAGAAGGAAACACAUUGCCUAAGAUCUGGCUUCUACACACGCGCCUCCCAGACAUGCCCGCGGCUUACGUCAUUCAGAGGGACGAGAGUGUUCUGGAAGAAAGGCUGCACGACCACGGCGAAGUCCUCGCGCUGCAGCUGUUUCGGACUCGCCCUCGGGCUGCAGAGUGAGGGGGUCUCUUGGGCAGCUGGGGAGGGUCAGCCAGCAGCCUCCAGCCCUUGGCAUCUCCAUGUGGGGCCAAAUUCCAGGAAGAAAGGGAACCACCUGGUCACCUGCCCAGCAAAUCUGGCCCUGAUAGGACUCCUCCGCCCCUGCAGAAUCUCCUCCCCCAUAACAGCAGUCACAAGGACUUUGACCCUUGGGCCUCAGAAGAUGGUGACUUUCUACAGGGUCAGAGCUGAGCUUCAGUAAGAUUCCAGCCCCAGCAGGAAUUCUCAUCCUGCACGUUGUACCUUAGCUCCAAGCCUGGCUUUCAAGGACAGUCCUAUCAAGGAUGUUAUAAAAGCUGCUGUUUCCUGAGUCCCUGCCCCACGGGGACCAUGCAUUUUACGGGCAUUUCUGAAAGGAGAUUUUACAGGUGGGAGUAAAAGGCCCAGAGAAUUUGUGUGGUUUGUACAAGGUCCGUAGCUUCUCAAUGGCAGAGCCAGGAUUUGAGGCCAGAUACGGCUGUCUUGAAACCUCCUUGCCUGGUGCUGCCUCUCAAAUACGGAACAACUCGCUGAAGUUGGAGUCUGGCAUCACAGACAAUGUCAGGGGCCCUUACGGAUCAUUUGAUCUGUCUGCCUCACUUUUCAGAAAAGCAAACUCAGGUCCAGAGGAAUAAAUUGACUUACGUACAGUAAGCAUUCAGUAAUGUAGCGGCAUUUCCAGAUGGGUUCCCAAGCCCCUGGCUAAUUGCUGAUGUCUGCCUGCUGGCCAGGCCUGUCUGGCUCUGCCUGCAUGGGUCUCACCCCCUAGCAGCUGUGAGCCCUGCUCUCCCCAGGUGCCUCAGCCCUGGGGCCACGUACGUGUACUUACUGGGCAGCCAGUGGCAUGACACAUUUCCCGCCUUGGCCCUGGUGCAGGCCAGCCAGCUCCAUGACCUCCACCAAGUUGACGAAAGCCCUUGGAAGCUGUGGGGAGCAGAAGGGUGGGUUUUAGAAGUCUCCAAGCAGUUUUAGAGGGCACUGGUCACUGCUUAUGAGAGCCUGGGGGGAUCAUCUACACUCUCAUGUCCCCCUCCUCAGUUUAACCAAUAAACUGAGGCCCAGAGAGGGAACAUGCCUUUUAUUAUCUCUUGGAACCUUCUUUAUUGACCCCACUUUACAGACUGGCAAUUGGAGACACAGAAGCCACUUGCUCAAAGUCCCAGUGCUAGUAAGCCACAAUGCCUGGCUACCAACCAGGCCAACUGGCCCCAGAAACAAGUUCUUUGCCACCAAACCACACAGUCAGAUCCAGUUAGAAUCCUCCCCUUAGAUGAGCUGGGCAGCUACCUCCCUCCCAUCCCGUCCAGGUACCUGCUGGAGGUGGGGCUGUGCUCAGCGUGCAUCUUGCUGAACACAACUUGUCUGGACGCACCCAGGGAGCAGCCCCUGGUGAGUGAGCAUCCAGCCAGGCUGCUGGCAGGAAGUGGGGCCCAGGAAUGUGCCACUGCGCUUUCCUACCUCCUUGUAGAAGAUGUCCAGGGCCUGUUGGAUGUGCCGAAGAUACUCCCCGGGCGAGUAGGCCUCCUGUGAAGAAAGAACGGUUCUCUUCAGCCCCUGGGCUGCACACUGAGAGGAGGAGGAGAAUAGCCUGAUGCCCAGCACAGAAGGGCACUGGACGGGCUGGGAAACCCAGCCCUUGUUGCUGGUGGACAGUCUUAGAAGAAGUCACGCACCUUGACCCUUAGCUAGACGCCAUGAACAGUCCCCACCCCACCCUGCUGCAUAGUUUCUCCAACCCAAAGGCAGGCCCUGUCUGUGCUGGGCCACACCGCCUCCUGCUCCAUCCCACUGGCCUCUGCCUUCCCAGCCACAACAGGACCCCCGUGGCCAUGUUCUCUUGUUCCUCUGACCUUUGGCCUGUGCUGGCCCUGCUGUCUGGAACCCUCUGCACUGCCUCCCCCGACUCAGCCCAAGGGUCCCACCUCUGACCCAUUUCCCAACUGGAGGCUGAUUUGGCCUGAGUUAAUCCUGGUGGUGGUCUUGGGGUCCUUUCCACAAAAAGAUGCUCUCAGGAGCGUAAACCUGUUUGCGUGAGGGACAGGAAUUGGGGGGGGGUCACUUCUGCCUCUAGAUUCUGGGCAGUGAGGGGAAGAGCCCCUGGGUGGGGGAGGCUGGUUCUCAUCAAGAAUUUGGUGACUGUCUCUGAGCCACAAGGAAUGAUAAAUGCCUUCUCCCUGCUGCCUGUGGCUGUCAAACAUUCUACCACGACCUUUGAGUUGUGGUAGCUGCUUAUUUUCUGGCCCAAUAAAAUAUAGCACAUCCUCAACUGAGAACAAGAUACAUUCCAGAAAUUACAACUUCCAAAAGUUUGGACUUAUUUCCCCAUAGAAACGUUAGGAACGGGUAGGGUUCCCAGACCGGCUGAGAUUGGGUAGCUCGUGUUGACCCUGAAGGACAGCAAGCCGUCGAUCGGAUGGGUUCAGUUUUAUCAACCCUAUUUAUGACACUGUUUUGGCCUUCUCCUACACCCCCACCUGCCAAAAAACACCAAGGGGCAGGGAUUCCACGCAGGUGGGGGUGGUUAUCCAUUGGAUACCAACGAACAGUGUGAGAGAGGCCGCCACCUCGGUAGUGCCUGCAGGGUGGGUACCUCCAGACACUUCUGGAAUCACGGAAUCAAUGUGGUGGCCACUCAGCAUCUCCUGCACGUGUGAGCCAUGGCUGCUGGGCAGGCUCGGGUGCCUGGGAGAGCUGGCCCGUGGCACCCUCCUGAGGGAGGUCCGGCUCUGGGUAUGGACAGUGACCUUGGCCAGCUGCUCCUUUCUCAGGUCCCCGAGGGGGCUGGGCUGGGGCCUACCGGAUUCUCGCAGUAAUGACACAAGUCGUUGCUCCCAAUGAAGAGUGUGAUGAGCUUCCAGUCUUUCUCUAGGUUGAUUUUCUGAGGGGACAGGAGAUACUGUUUAGACCUUGGUGCGGGGGGUGGUGUCACGUGUAAGGGGUGCUCACCAGGCCAGAUGGCCCCCCAUGUGCCUUCCACCGUCUUCACAUCACAGUGAAGAGAAGAUGCCAAGUGGGGCCUCCCUCACCCUCACCUUUGCGCUGGUCAAGGACUCCACCCAGAGCACUGUGCGUGCGUGUGCGUGUGUGUGCGUGCAUGCCUGCUCACACAGCACAGAGGGCUGCUUGCUCUUUGAGAGCCUCUUAGGAGAGCUGCAGUCCAGGGUGAGGUGGAAUGUAUUAACACACCCUGAAAACAUGAUCUAUAGGCCUUCAAAGGGGAGCCGAGGGCAAAAGAGCCAUCUAGAAGCAAAAGCCCAGCGCUGGCUCUGGGGAGAGCCCUUUGGGUCUGGGUCCGGGGAGCGGGGAGGAGGAGGGUGUGAAGGAGGAGCCCAGGGUGGACCAAGGGUGGGGCGGGGGCUGGGGAGGAGCCUGCUUUCAACUCAGCCAUUGUAGGAGUCCUGCCAGGAGCCAAAUUCCAAGGCAUAAACGCAGAGCAUUUUAAAAAGUGCUAGUGAGAAGGUUUAGAGGGGCCAAGGGAGCAGGAAGGAGGAAGGAUUGGAAUGAGAUACCUAUUUUUAGAAGCCAAAGUUUACAUAAUAGGGCUUGGGAAGCCAACUGUUGGGUUAAGUAGAAAGCUGCCAGGCCAAGGCCUGCCACCUCCCCGGACUCCGCUCCAUCUCUGCCUGCAGCAGUCCCUGGAGCGGAGGUGGCGUCGAGGUGGACACCCAUCUCCUCUGAGCUCAUCUGGCCCCUCUUGAAGACCAGCCUGAGCUGCUGUAGGGCAGAGGGAGCUCUUUCAGCCCCCCAGCUAGAGACAGAGCACCUCUUGGGGUGACCCCGGGUCCUGGACUCACAGGGCUGUUUUUCAUUCGCUCCACGAGGUCCCGGGCCUGGGCAGGCAUGUCCCUAGGUGGGGGAAGAGACAGGGAUGUUAGAGCUGGCUCAGGAGCAAGGGCUCAAGCUGUAGGAUUUGGGCCUGGCAAGAUGUUUCAGGAAGAAAAAUGUCAUACAAAGUUCAUUCCUUCAGCAUGUAUCGAAAGGCUUUCAAUUCUCAAGAAAUCUCAACCUAGUGAAAAUAAAGAUCUGCCGUGGGUCUCGGCACCACGUCACUCCAGACCCUGCCGGGGGCUGACAUGCAUCCAACUGCCCCCUCCGGCAGGCCUAGUCCUCUGUGGCCACUUUAGUGGGGGAAUCUGCUCAUCCUUCCCAUCAGGGAUGUUCCCUUAUAUCAUCCAGGUCUUUCAUUACAGGCUGAGCCUGUUCAGUUCUUCAGCUGCCUGUUUUAAAAAUAACCUUCUGUAUGUUUGAAAAAAGUCAUUGCCCUAAAUGAAUGCUCAGCUUUCUCCUCACCAGGCUUCAUGAUUCCUUUAACCUUUACCUCUGAGUCCCACUCUCUGCUCCUUUAAUCCUUUUGUUUUUCUUCUCUGUAGUUACUUCUGAUUCCCACACCACUCUCAUCUCCUCACUCUCCCCUGCCUCCCACAAAACAGGAUGGGGGAGACAAAUUUGGCACUAGCUCUCCCUUCACCUCCCAGAUGUCUGCCGUCUAUAAGGAAAUGAAUGCUUCUGGAUAAGAGAUAUGUCACCGGAACCCUACAGCGAUACGGGGUGUGAACCAGUGAUACACAUGACAACGGGGAAGUAUCUCCCC
Molecule: non-coding RNA, 6216 nt
Organism: Vicugna pacos (alpaca)
Lineage: Eukaryota; Metazoa; Chordata; Mammalia; Artiodactyla; Camelidae
Source: RefSeq, a predicted model, not a curated record